RNAcentral lists this ribosomal RNA (292 nucleotides) under uncultured bacterium. RNAcentral's name for it is "partial 16S ribosomal RNA". The record is from RNAcentral.
GGACUACCAGGGUAUCUAAUCCUGUUUGCUCCCCACGCUUUCGAGCCUCAGCGUCAGUUAAAGCCCAGCAGGCCGCCUUCGCCACUGGUGUUCCUCCUAAUAUCUACGCAUUUCACCGCUACACUAGGAAUUCCGCCUGCCUCUACUUCACUCAAGAAUAAUAGUUUUGGAUGCAGCUCCGCAGUUGAGCCGCGGCAUUUCACAUCCAACUUACUAUCCCGCCUACGCUCCCUUUACACCCAGUAAUUCCGGACAACGCUCGCCACCUACGUAUUACCGCGGCGGCUGGCAC